Molecule: ribosomal RNA, 403 nt
Filed under: uncultured bacterium
Lineage: Bacteria
Description: bacterial SSU rRNA
Rfam family: Bacterial small subunit ribosomal RNA
Source: RNAcentral
UAGGGAAUAUUAGUAAUGGGCGAAAGCCUGAACUAGCAACGCCGCGUGUGCGAAGAAGGCCUUCGGGUUGUAAAGCACUUUUUGAGAGGAUGAGGAAGGACGGUACUCUCAGAAUAAGUCUCGGCUAACUACGUGCCAGCAGCCGCGGUAACACGUAGGAGGCGAACGUUAUCCGGAUUUACUGGGCGUAAAGCGCGUGUAGGUGGUUUGGUAAGUAGGGCGUGAAAGCUCCAGGCUCAACUGGGAGAGGCCGUUCUAAACUGCCGAACUAGAGGAUGGUAGAGGGAGGUGGAAUUCCGGGUGUAGCGGUGGAAUGCGCAGAUAUCCGGAGGAACACCAGUGGCGAAAUCGGCCUCCUGGACCACUCCUGACACUCAGACGCGAAAGCUAGGGUAGCAAACGG